GGGACAGUAGGUUAAUCGGUUAAACCGCCGGUGCUUUACACCCCGGAGAUGUGGGUCCGACCCCCACCUGUUCCA
Molecule: transfer RNA, 75 nt
Filed under: Verrucomicrobiota bacterium
Lineage: Bacteria; Pseudomonadati; Verrucomicrobiota
Description: Verrucomicrobia bacterium tRNA-OTHER
Rfam family: tRNA
About the family: Transfer RNA (tRNA) molecules are approximately 80 nucleotides in length. Their secondary structure includes four short double-helical elements and three loops (D, anti-codon, and T loops).
Source: RNAcentral